RNAcentral lists this unclassified non-coding RNA (165 nucleotides) under uncultured Volutella. RNAcentral describes it as "sequence contains ITS1". The record is from RNAcentral. Lineage: Eukaryota; Fungi; Ascomycota; Sordariomycetes; Hypocreales; Nectriaceae.
CCGAGUUUUCAACUCCCAAACCCCUGUGAACAUACCUAACGUUGCCUCGGCGGGAAAGCCCCAGGCGUUGGCGCAAGCCUCGCACUGGUAUCAGGCGCUCGCCGGAGGACCCAACUAAACUCUUGUAUUCUAAAGAAUCUUCUGAGUAAACCAUUAAAUAAAUUA